AACCCUUACUUUACUCCUGAGAGCAGACGAUAGCAAUUGUAACUAUAAGAAGAGUUGAGAGGACAGACUCUAUUUUAUCUCUUUAUUUUGUCUUUCUCUUAAAAAUAGAAACUCAGUAUUUGCACAAAAAUUCUAAAGGAUACAAAUGAAAUAAUUAAUUGAUAAAUACGACACCAAAAUAAAUUAUAAAAAUACACACAUUGCAAACGCAUGAUUUUUCGAUGGUGUUUCUAAGUAGCGAGAUUUUAAUGACAUUUGUGUGUUGACAUCUUGCCAAUUUUAGGGACGAUUUUAUAAACAGUGUUUCGUCAUCAACUCAGCUUAUAAACUCUUUAUAGUUCAAUAAUGCAUAGCAUAUGGAACAUUUAACUACUCCAGCAAUGUAGUGAUGCAUUGUGACAUUUUUGCGUCUCUUUUACAUAUAAAUAGUAUUUUUUCUCGGCACUUUAAAAAGUUUUGUGACGUAAUAUUUCCUUAGAACUACUUCAAAAGGAUUUGUGCCAACUUUUUCUGAAGAAAAUUUGGAAGACCUGUUGCUUUUCUCAUUAAUUAAAUAAAGGUCUCAUUGAGAAGGGGUGGCAUGAUUCAAAGCUGUCAUAGUUGGAGUAGAAGAAAGGCCCGAUAAACAUAAGCCUCAUUUUGAAUUUCGUAUCUUUAUUAAACUUUGAUCCAUUUGCAGUUGCUUUGCAGAGACCGAUUUCUGGAAAUUCGAUAUUCAGUGCCAAGUUUGAGGCGACUGCAUGUCAUUUGACUAUUAUCCUGAUCACAAGAGAUGUUUAAUUCGUAAUCAGAAAAUCUUGGGCAUCACAAUACAAUGGAGAUUAAUAAUCACUUUAAUCACCUUCAAAGAAAGGGUAUGUUUAAUUUUCUUUCCCUGCUUAUUUUUGAAUUCUUAAAAUGCAGUUGUUGAAUUAUAUUUUAUUUUGUUUCGUGCAGAACUUCUAGUGUUUCAUAAAUGUUCCAUUUCAAUCGAAAUACUUCAAAGACGAAAAACGUUCGCAAUCACAAAAGUGAAAGCGUGGGAAAAAAACAUAUAUAUAUUUUUAAAAUUUUUUAUUAUUUUUAUUUCUCGCUUUUUGUUCCGUUGAGGCGUGCGUUUCGCGUGAUCGAAACGUUAUGUUAGCUGACUGCAUUUGAUUAUUUGUGAAGAGUUAGACAAUUUAUUAAGCUAUUGUCUCUUUCCUUUAAAAGAUUAUUUAUUUAGAUGCUUUAUAAUGGUUAGUAGAGUUUGAAAAGCACAUUCACUUUCAUUUGUAUUUCAUAAUAGAAAUGUUUAACUUUAAUAAGAUGUGAAGUUUUACUGAUAUUGGUUAUUUAGCUUUAUAAUUUAAGCAAAUAAUGUAAAUUAUGCUUUUUUUAUAAUUUUCCAAACAUAAAACUAAUCUGUCGAAAUAGAUUUUUAAUUUGUAGAAAUAUCAUGAAUAUGCAUUUACCGACAAAACUAGACA
Long non-coding RNA from Parasteatoda tepidariorum (common house spider), 1448 nucleotides. The record is from RefSeq and is a predicted model, not a curated record. NCBI's taxonomy places the organism in Eukaryota, Metazoa, Arthropoda, Arachnida, Araneae, Theridiidae.